GGGACCAUCCUCCAAGGCUAAAUACUCCUGACUGACCGAUAGUGAACCAGUACCGUGAGGGAAAGGCGAAAAGAACCCCGGCGAGGGGAGUGAAAAAGAACCUGAAACCGUGUACGUACAAGCAGUGGGAGCCUCUUUAUGGGGUGACUGCGUACCUUUUGUAUAAUGGGUCAGCGACUUAUAUUCUGUAGCAAGGUUAACCGAAUAGGGGAGCCGAAGGGAAACCGAGUCUUAACUGGGCGUUAAGUUGCAGGGUAUAGACCC
RNAcentral lists this ribosomal RNA (264 nucleotides) under Streptococcus suis. RNAcentral's name for it is "partial 23S ribosomal RNA". It matches the Rfam family "Bacterial large subunit ribosomal RNA", at positions 449 to 716 of the family's 2925-position model. The record is from RNAcentral. Lineage: Bacteria; Bacillati; Bacillota; Bacilli; Lactobacillales; Streptococcaceae.